RNAcentral lists this long non-coding RNA (943 nucleotides) under Olea europaea subsp. europaea. The record is from RNAcentral. Lineage: Eukaryota; Viridiplantae; Streptophyta; Magnoliopsida; Lamiales; Oleaceae.
CCAGGUUUAAGUUGUCCUGCUACAAAUUUUCUUAAAGCAAGUCGACAUAGAGUAACUUAUUAAAAAAAAACUCUUCUAGAUCGAGGUAAAGAUAAAAGCUCCGCGAAACGAGCCCUAUAAAAUGAUCUAUUGAUUAAUGACAAGUGAUCACAAUUCAAGGCGAGCCAUCACUUGAAAUACACUUCAAUAUUAUUCAUAAAUAGCCUCGAAUAUCACCUAAACAGAUCUCAGCAGCGUCUGCCCUGUCAAGAUGAUUAAGAAGUGCUUAGACGGCGAGUUGUUUAGUUAAAAUUAGCAUUUCUGCAUAAUUCAACACCAACAAAAAAAGGUUCGAUGAUACGGAAGAACAAAGAAACUAGUGAAAAUUGACUAUGAAACAUUCGUUAACCAACUGAAAACGACUGCCCUCUUUGAAAUGGGAUCUUUUUGCACCGUAAAAAUACAAUCUCCCCUGUAAAUUCAUGGCUAGUUAAUCAGAAAUGACAGCCGCAACAGAGGAAAAAGCAACAGAGAGUUGAAACCAGAAAUAUGGCUUCAAAAGCCGACACAAUUUUGAAAAGAAAAUCGUUUAUAAACCAUAGAUGCAAGGUGAAUUUCCACUUCCACCGCAACCCGGCAGCGGUCUUGAACUUCCACCGCCCACUACCGAUCCUGUUAAGCCUCUUAAACAAGUACAUAAAACUCCAAGACUUCUUCUCCAUAAUAUGUAAUAUAAUCUCGAUUUUGAUGGGUAUUUUGUGGAUUGGGGAUUGGUAACAGGAGGAAGUUGGGAUUUGAAUUUAAUUUUGAAGAAGAAAACAGAGGACUUAUAGCAAUAGGGAGGCAGUAUCUGGGUUAGUGGGUUUUAAAGUGGAUUCAUUCAUCGGUUGCGAUCUGGCCUUGAAAUAUUCGUUUCAGAUUAAAUUACUUGGCUAUAAAGAGGGAAAACAAAAGGAGAAGGAAU